Molecule: ribosomal RNA, 491 nt
Filed under: uncultured Bacillus sp.
Lineage: Bacteria; Bacillati; Bacillota; Bacilli; Caryophanales; Bacillaceae
Description: bacterial SSU rRNA
Rfam family: Bacterial small subunit ribosomal RNA
Source: RNAcentral
AGAGUUUGAUCCUGGCUUAGGACGAACGCUGGCGGCGUGCCUAAUACAUGCAAGUCGAGCGAACCUUUAGGAGCUUGCUCCUGAAGGUUAGCGGCGGACGGGUGAGUAACACGUGGGCAACCUGCCUGUAAGACUGGGAUAACUUCGGGAAACCGGAGCUAAUACCGGAUAAUCCUUUUCCUCUCAUGAGGAAAAGCUGAAAGUCGGUUUCGGCUGACACUUACAGAUGGGCCCGCGGCGCAUUAGCUAGUUGGUGAGGUAACGGCUCACCAAGGCGACGAUGCGUAGCCGACCUGAGAGGGUGAUCGGCCACACUGGGACUGAGACACGGCCCAGACUCCUACGGGAGGCAGCAGUAGGGAAUCUUCCGCAAUGGACGAAAGUCUGACGGAGCAACGCCGCGUGAGCGAUGAAGGCCUUCGGGUCGUAAAGCUCUGUUGUUAGGGAAGAACAAGUACCGGAGUAACUGCCGGUACCUGACGGACCUACCA